RNAcentral lists this transfer RNA (71 nucleotides) under Acidobacteria bacterium RIFCSPLOWO2_02_FULL_61_28. RNAcentral describes it as "tRNA-Asp". It matches the Rfam family "tRNA". From Rfam's summary of the family: Transfer RNA (tRNA) molecules are approximately 80 nucleotides in length. Their secondary structure includes four short double-helical elements and three loops (D, anti-codon, and T loops). The record is from RNAcentral. Lineage: Bacteria; Pseudomonadati; Acidobacteriota.
GGGCCGGUGGUGUAAUGGGAACACGGCGCCCUGUCACAGCGCAGACAGGGGUUCGAUCCCCGGCCGGUCCA